This is a long non-coding RNA of Homo sapiens (human), 991 nucleotides long. Ensembl annotates it as MIR924 host gene. Its record names the gene MIR924HG. Lineage: Eukaryota; Metazoa; Chordata; Mammalia; Primates; Hominidae. The record is from Ensembl.
ACGCAGAGAAUUCCAUGGAGACUCUGAUGGCUAGGGCACCGUUGAGCUGUUGCAACUGUUCUGCUGGAGCCUUAUGUAUGUGGUUGAAACCACCUGUACUACUGGAAUGAAAGCACCUUUACAGAAGAGGCAAUGCAAGUUGUAUUCAUCACAUGUGUAGAAUGAAUUAAGAUUUAUGCCAGUUGCAAAGAAGAAUAUUGGCUCACUAUUUUUCCUCUGGGCAUGUGGAAAUGUAAAUCAGUCCAUGUUACUCACCUCGGAGAAGCAGAAGUACGAUUUACUAUUGUUGCUUGCUUACUUACUCUUAUCAAUUUCUAUGAGAGAGUUGUACUGCGACAUUAGCUCUUUUGACUAGAUGUGAUGACAGACUGUCUUUGGUCCAUUCUCUUUUAUUGCCUUGGAAGAGAAUAAAUGAGGAGUAGUUCUCACCCAUUGCAGCUGAGGCAUCACACCUGUAAUGGGAUUAACAAGAUGAUAAUAUAUCUUUUGCCAAGACCACAUACUAGCAGAAGAAUUCCAAAUGUGCUACCAUCCAUGUAGUUUUACUUGAAAAACCCCCUUGGAAAUUAACAAUAAGGCACUGACUGGAGCUGAAUUUGCAAAUGUUUUAGGAAGAAACUUUAUCUCAGACUACCCUUGAUGUAUCAAAAUAUUUAAAGCAAUUGGCAAAGGCAGUGAGCAAUUCACUCUCAGGCACAUGAAUAUCACCGGGAGAGGGCUGAAUGUUCAGAUAUGCAAGAGGGAAAGCUAAAGCACACAAGUCCUUUUAGACCCAGGCUCAGAAGUGAUACACCGUCUCUUUCAACUCAUUCUAUUGGCCAAAUAAUCAGACCAUAUGAUGUCCUGAAAAUUCUUCCACAAUAUUUAACCAACACUUUCCAGAAAAACUUCAUUUAUCUCCAUGUACCAAUAUUUUGGGGUCCAGCCCAAUUCCUGUCCCUUCAGUGAAGCCUUAUUUAAUUUUACCAAUAAAUAAUAGCUCUCUUUUUUG